UACGUAGGGAGCAAGCGUUGUUCGGAUUUACUGGGCGUAAAGGGCGCGUAGGCGGCGCUGUAAGUCACUUGUGAAAUCUCUGAGCUUAACUCAGAACGGCCAAGUGAUACUGCAGUGCUAGAGUGCAGAAGGGGCAAUCGGAAUUCUUGGUGUAGCGGUGAAAUGCGUAGAUAUCAAGAGGAACACCUGAGGUGAAGGCGGGUUGCUAGGCUGACACUGACGCUGAGGCGCGAAAGCCAGGGGAGCAAACGGG
This 253-nucleotide ribosomal RNA is filed under the name uncultured bacterium. RNAcentral's name for it is "partial 16S ribosomal RNA". It matches the Rfam family "Bacterial small subunit ribosomal RNA", at positions 524 to 776 of the family's 1533-position model. The record is from RNAcentral.